Molecule: ribosomal RNA, 519 nt
Filed under: uncultured eukaryote
Lineage: Eukaryota
Description: partial 18S ribosomal RNA
Rfam family: Eukaryotic small subunit ribosomal RNA
Source: RNAcentral
GGGCACCACCAGGAGUGGAGCCUGCGGCUUAAUUUGACUCAACACGGGAAAACUCACCCGGCCCGGACACUGGAAGGAUUGACAGAUUGAGAGCUCUUUCUUGAUUCAGUGGGUGGGUGGUGCAUGGCCGUUCUUAGUUGGGUGGGAGCGAUUUUGUUCUGGGUUAAUUUCCGGAAUAACGAACCGAAGACUCCUAGGCCUUAUUUAAAAUAGAACUGGCGGGGGUCCGUAAGCCCCCCGCAAGGAAUUUCUUAAAAGGGAAAAGGGCGGGCGAAGUAAGCCGCCCCAAGGGGAGGGCAAAUUAAAAGGGUCUUGUGAAUGCCCUUUAAAUUUCCGGGGGCCCCCCAGGGCGGUUACCCUGAAAGUGACAACGGGGCAUUUGUUUUCGCCUCCCGGGGGGGGCGGGAACCCAAGGAACCUUCUUCCGGAAAGGAUUGGGAUUUGAUUUAUUGCCCAUAAACGGAAUUCCCGUAAGGCGGACAUUAGCUUGUGUGUAUCCCCCCGCCUUGGAAACCCGCG